Molecule: long non-coding RNA, 484 nt
Filed under: Carica papaya (papaya)
Lineage: Eukaryota; Viridiplantae; Streptophyta; Magnoliopsida; Brassicales; Caricaceae
Description: long non-coding RNA (CPAP_LNC008688)
Source: RNAcentral
UUCAAAAUCAAGAUCUCCUUAAAGAUUGAGAAGUUGAUGAUAUGAUUUUCUUGAUUCAGCUUCUUGAUUUUGUUGUGCUUUCUAUGGGUCUUGUAGAGUUUUGUUCUUCGAAUCUUCAGGUAUUUUUACGCACAAGUCCUUCUUUACCUUUUUAACAUGUAAACAUCCAUUGACAGCAUGUUUUCAGCAAAUGCUUUUGGAAGAUUCUCACUCCCUCUAAGGUAAGUUUUUGUUUGAACUGCAGUUUUGAACAGGUUAAGUACUAAUGAUUUGCUUCAAGCUCGUAGGUUGAGUCAUGCUUUGUCUCCUAGGGUGUGUCUGUGAUGUGUCACAAAGCAGCUGAAUUUCAUAAUAAUCUGUUUCUGCAUUUUGACAUGUAUUACUUUUGGGGAUCUGUUGCGCUACUCUUCAUCUUGAGGGUUUCCUUCCUCUGCUCUUUCUGGUGUUGGUACGAGCAUAGGGGUUAAAAUUUUGUAGUGCAGGG